CGACGCCGCCCGCCGCCGGCCACCACCCUGCGCCGCCCGCCGCCGGCCACCACCACGCGUCGCCUCGCCUCGGCCACCACACGCCCCGCCUCGGCCACCACGAGCCGGCACCGGAUCCAGACCACGGUGGGCCCCCGCGAUGUUCCGGCGCCGGAUCCAGGCCAUAGCGACCCCCCACGACACCCUGCUAUGAGAGCCAGGCCGCGCCGGCCUCCCGCGCCGCCGCCCCACCUACUCCCCCCGCGCCGCCGCGGCGCCAUCGUCCGGAUGCGCCUCCGUCGCGCACCGCACCGCUGUGGGAGGACACCAGCCGGGGGCAACCCUGCACGGCCCUCCUAGCUUGCGAGGAUGGGCGCGCGACUGGAUCAAAUCGAGGCUGAAGGCCUCCUUCCUCGCACCGCGACUUGUGUGGCGGCGGUGACCCAUGUUCCCCUCCUCCCUCAACCCCCUUCUAGUCGCCCGACGAGCUGCCCCUCCACCCCUUGCAGUUCACCGACUCGUGCGUCCAGUCCAUUGUGGGCAAAGGCUGACCACCAUCACCGGCAAUGGAGUCCGGACGCAUGCGGUACACUUGCCGUGGUCAAAGUGUGCGGCUUGCAGUUUGGCACAAGAGGGUAUGCAGUGCAGUUUAGUUCGUCGCAGGUGUUCGCUGGGCCGAUGUACCUCUCGCUCCACCCUAUGCGUUCAACUCUACUCCUUGCAUGCAGUGCAGUUUUUUGUUCAUUUGCAGCUUCAGUUAGGUUUAGUGAGCUCUAGUGCGAUUUGAAUCUCCUGGGAAAGAACAGUAGCAAGCGUGUGCUAAUGUGGUUCAAUGCGCCAUGUAUAUAUGACUUGAUUGCAAUUUACUUUUUGGUUUUAGGUAUGUGCCUGCUAAUUUCUUGAGUGAGCUCUUCCUUCAAAACGGUGCAAAUUUCUUCUGUUUUGGCCGUCGCUUUUAUUUACAGUUAGGUGCAGUAGAGCUCCUAGCAGAUUAAUUCAGAGCGAAUUUGGGUGUUGUUGAUGCAGUGCGGCAGGCCUGUUUGCGCAGUCCAACACUCUUCUUGGGGAUGUUCUUCUGGUGAACCUCUUUUUUCCUAAAAAAUAAUGCAGUACAUUAUCAUCGACUAUGCAGUUGAGAUAUGGCCGUGCAGCUCGGAGAACCAUCUCUUCCCAUUGGUCGGUGGACCAUGGCCGUGCAGCUCGGAGAUGCUCGCCAUGUGGUUCCGGACUUGUGUGUGUGCAGUCGGGAGAGCGCCAUCUCCAUCUCUUCCCGUGUGGUCCGUCAACCAUGGUUGUGCAGCUCGCAGACGCUCGUCGUUCGGUUCAGGGCUCAUGCGUGUGCAGUCCUGCGAGGGCCAUCUCUUCCCUUGCUCGUAAGGUUCUUUUGAUUCUGUUCUGCUAAUUGAGAUUUUGUUUUUUUGGUUGGUUUUGCUGGUGACAAGGGUUCUGGAGGUACCUUCUGAAGAAGAACCUUGAUGCCCGGUGGCUGCAAGGGUUCCGUUGCGCCGUGUUUGGGAUCGGCGAUUCAUGCUACAAGAGGUUGCUGCAAAGAAGCUCCGUACAAGGCUUUCACAGCUUGGUGCAAAAUCGAUCAUAGUGAUUGGAUUGGGAGAUGACCAAGACUCUUCAGGAUAUGAAAAAGCUCUAGGUCCUUGGCUGCUGUCUUUCUGGAAAUCACUGAAUCGAAAAAAUCCAUCGCUUUUACCAAGAAUUCAGGCUCGUCCGCGGGCACUCGGACGAGCGUCCAAGCACUGCGAUGAAUGUCCCAUGCACAUCUGCGCCUCUACCACAAACAUUCGGAAAAAAGAGGAUUCCCCUAGUGUGGAAAAUAGAUAGCUCUGGAAUCUACUCCUCACAAUGGUUAUAUGCUGCUUUCAACUUCUCUGUGUAGUGAGUUGUAUUUUGUGUGUGGAUGAUUGUAACAUGGAGACAGAAGAAAAAAGAAAGGGAUGCAUUUUUGUUACGCUGCAUCGUGCGUUAUUGCUCAGUUUGUAAUUUCUUUCAUUGUAAAUGCAGUGAGCUUGGUGAA
This is a long non-coding RNA of Triticum dicoccoides, 2008 nucleotides long. RefSeq lists it as uncharacterized. Lineage: Eukaryota; Viridiplantae; Streptophyta; Magnoliopsida; Poales; Poaceae. The transcript is spliced from 3 exons. The record is from RefSeq and is a predicted model, not a curated record.